Molecule: non-coding RNA, 1147 nt
Organism: Paramuricea clavata
Lineage: Eukaryota; Metazoa; Cnidaria; Anthozoa; Malacalcyonacea; Plexauridae
Source: the annotation of a GenBank genome assembly
AUGUAUAUAUUGUCUGAUGGAAUGAUUUAUAUCGAUGUGAUGUAUUUGUGACCAUUGCGCAAAGAUAUUUCACAAAGGUUUAUUAUUUACGAGAUACCCUAGGUAACGUUUAGAAAACAGAAUAUAGAAUUUUGGAAGACAAAUAGCUAGAUAGGUCAAGGAAAAGUGAUGGAACGUGAAGAUUUUUGCCUAUACAAAUUAAAUCAAAGCACGAUAUUCUGAGGGUUGUUUCUCUCCGAAAAAAUAAUGGAUUUUUUCGGCAAAAUUUUGGCUAAAAUUUUGAGUCCAAUUUUGGGUCCAAUUUUGGGUCCAAUUUUGGGUCCAAUUUUGAGUCCAAUUUUGGGCCAAUUUUGGGUCCAGUCCAUGGGUCCAGUCCAUGUUUUUGUACUAUGCCCGUGUAGGUCAUACACGUUUGUUAUCAUCUUGUAACAAGGUUGAUGAGGCCAACAGACUCGCAACAAGUUGUUCCAACAACUCUGAUAUCGUCUGCACGUAACAAGUUGCUGACAAGUUGAUGACAACAAGCUUGUAGCAACUUGUUACGAACAGCCUGUGUUAGUCUUGUUGGAACAACUUGUAGCAACUCUGUUACCGUCAAUAACAACUUGCUGCAGACUUGUCACAACAACUGGGACCAAGCAGUAUACGAGCACAUCCUGAUAUCGACUUGACAAUAACCUUGUUACAACUUGUUUGCAGACUAUAAUAAUAAUAAAAUUAUUGAAUAUCAGUUAACCCUCUAGCAACGUGCGCGAUUUUUACGUGUACGAUGACGAAUAUCCGCCAUUUUUGGGUAGCAUAUAUCUAAUUCUCGUUAACCAAUGCAGACAAUUAAAACAAUGUGAAAAGCAAUUUUUCAAAAUAAACUAAUCAUUUGCAAAGCAAAUGUACCUCGUCAAAAAAAUUAUAAAAAGUCGCUGUUAUGUGGACUUAUCUCACAGACUUCGGCUGAAAUGCCACCCAAAAAUGGCGGCGUGAGAAAGGCUAAAUGACACACAAUGCAAUAAUAACUAUAUCCAGGGACGCCGGAACGAUCAUAAGGCAAAGGGGGGCGGACCCACAGCAAGGGCACUUCUCUAAAGCAAAACUUCAAAAUCUUCCGAAAUUUUUUUUUUUUCCAAAAAAUUUCGGCGACCUCCCCCCCCCC